Molecule: ribosomal RNA, 392 nt
Filed under: uncultured bacterium
Lineage: Bacteria
Description: partial 16S ribosomal RNA
Rfam family: Bacterial small subunit ribosomal RNA
Source: RNAcentral
AUACGGAGGAUGCGAGCGUUAUCCGGAUUUAUUGGGUUUAAAGGGUGCGCAGGCGGCCAUUUAAGUCAGCGGUUAAAUCGUGGGGCUCAACCCCAUUCUGCCGUUGAUACUGGGUGGCUUGAUUGCGGUCGAGGUUGGCGGAAUUCGUUGUGUAGCGGUGAAAUGCAUAGAUAUGACGAAGAACACCGAUUGCGUAGGCAGCUGACCAGAUCGCAAAUGACGCUCAUGCACGAAAGUGCGGGGAUCGAACAGGAUUAGAUACCCUGGUAGUCCGCACAGUAAACGAUGAAUACUUGUUUUCGGCGAUAUAAUGUCGGAGGCAAAGCGAAAGCGAUAAGUAUUCCACCUGGGGAGUACGCCGGCAACGGUGAAACUCAAAGGAAUUGACGGGG